This 253-nucleotide ribosomal RNA is filed under the name uncultured bacterium. RNAcentral describes it as "partial 16S ribosomal RNA". It matches the Rfam family "Bacterial small subunit ribosomal RNA", at positions 524 to 776 of the family's 1533-position model. The record is from RNAcentral.
UACGUAGGGUGCGAGCGUUGUCCGGAUUUAUUGGGCGUAAAGAGCUUGUAGGCGGCUCGUCGCGUCGGGUGUGAAAACUUGCGGCUUAACCGCAAGCCUGCACCCGAUACGGGCGGGCUAGAGUUCGGCAGGGGAGACUGGAAUUCCUGGUGUAGCGGUGGAAUGCGCAGAUAUCAGGAGGAACACCGGUGGCGAAGGCGGGUCUCUGGGCCGAUACUGACGCUGAGAAGCGAAAGCGUGGGGAGCGAACAGG